AAGUCGUAACAAGGUUUCCGUAGGUGAACCUGCGGAAGGAUCAUUCACAAUCAGUGUUUAAUGGCACUUGAAAUCCAUUACCCACCUUGUGUGCAUUGUCGAGGAGAACCUUUCUUUUUUUCUUUCUCUCUUUUUCUCCUCCGUCUUUGGGGGAGGGGAAAAGGUUUGGAAGGUUUGGGGGGUUCUCUUUUCAUACAUACUCUGUUAUUUCAGUAUCAGUCUACAUCAAUUGAGUAACAAAAACUCGAAUACAACUUUCAACAACGGAUCUCUUGGCUCUC
RNAcentral lists this unclassified non-coding RNA (281 nucleotides) under fungal sp. RNAcentral's name for it is "partial internal transcribed spacer region". The stretch from base 1 to 46 matches the Rfam family "Eukaryotic small subunit ribosomal RNA", at positions 1786 to 1831 of the family's 1831-position model. The record is from RNAcentral. Lineage: Eukaryota; Fungi.